RNAcentral lists this ribosomal RNA (404 nucleotides) under uncultured Eubacteriales bacterium. Its description in RNAcentral is "bacterial SSU rRNA". It matches the Rfam family "Bacterial small subunit ribosomal RNA", at positions 378 to 774 of the family's 1533-position model. The record is from RNAcentral. Lineage: Bacteria; Bacillati; Bacillota; Clostridia; Eubacteriales.
AAAGCCUGAUCCAGCCAUGCCGCGUGUGUGAAGAAGGUCUUCGGAUUGUAAAGCACUUUAAGUUGGGAGGAAGGGUUUCUGGCUAAUAUCCAGGAAUUUUGACGUUACCGACAGAAUAAGCACCGGCUAACUACGUGCCAGCAGCCGCGGUAAUACGUAGGUGGCAAGCGUUGUCCGGAUUUACUGGGCGUAAAGGGAGCGUAGGCGGAUACUUAAGUGGGAUGUGAAAUACCUGGGCUUAACUUGGGUGCUGCAUUCCAAACUGGGUGUCUAGAGUGUUGGAGAGGAAAGUGGAAUUCCUAGUGUAGCGGUGAAAUGCGUAGAGAUUAGGAAGAACACCAGUGGCGAAGGCGACUUUCUGGACAAUAACUGACGCUGAGGCUCGAAAGCGUGGGGAGCAAACA